ACCUGGCUGGCUCAGUUGGUAGAGUGCAGGACUCUUGAUCUUGAAGUUGUGAGUUCAAGCCUUGUGAUGGGUG
Molecule: transfer RNA, 73 nt
Filed under: Canis lupus familiaris (dog)
Lineage: Eukaryota; Metazoa; Chordata; Mammalia; Carnivora; Canidae
Also listed under: 1 other name
Rfam family: tRNA
About the family: Transfer RNA (tRNA) molecules are approximately 80 nucleotides in length. Their secondary structure includes four short double-helical elements and three loops (D, anti-codon, and T loops).
Source: Rfam by way of RNAcentral